RNAcentral lists this ribosomal RNA (166 nucleotides) under uncultured bacterium. Its description in RNAcentral is "partial 16S ribosomal RNA". It matches the Rfam family "Bacterial small subunit ribosomal RNA", at positions 340 to 505 of the family's 1533-position model. The record is from RNAcentral.
UACGGGAGGCAGCAGUGGGGAAUUUUGGACAAUGGGGGAAAGCCUGAUCCAGCAAUGCCGCGUGUGUGAAGAAGGCCUUCGGGUGUAAAGCACUUUUUCGGGGAAGAAGUCAUGUGGCUAAUACCUCGGGGAAGACGUACUGAAGAAGAAGCACCGGCAAUUUCGG